UAAACCCUUCACAAAGUUCAUGGCGCUGUCUUCCGCCCGGACCUGUCCGCAGUGGUUCCCCCGGAGACGAGCAGCACUGAACGCACACAAGACUGCAGGAGACCCGCGGCCCCAUCCAGCUCCGUACACGGCGACUCCAUCCUUUGGUCACUCAGGCCAAACCUCGAAGUCAUCGUGGAUCCGUCUCACUCACAUCCUACACGCAUCCCUUCGACGAGUCCUUCCAGCGUCAGCGCCAGAAGGUGUGGAGAGCCGGCAGCUUCCCCUGCACAGCAGCCCCACGCCGCCCACCCGCGCCCCUGCCCCGGCUCAUCGCGAGGCUCCCAGGGCUCUCCCCGCCUCCACGCCAGCCGCCCAUACACUAUUUUCCGCGCAGUAGAACAUAAAUCCAGCACAUCCCUCCUCUGCUCAGAACCCUCAGUGACACGCCGUCUCCCGGAGGACCGGAUCCCCGCGAUGGCCGCUCGGCGGCGCCCUCGGCUGCGCCCGUCCGCAGACGCCGCACGGCUCCCCUCAGGCUCUCCGAGAGAAGAUAUCUGCCCGUCUUUUUUUAAAAAAAGGAAAAGAAGGGAAAACAUCUUCAAAUGUUAUUUCCUCAGCAAAGCCUUCCCUGCCCGAGACGGAGGAGCGCCUCCCCGCCGCGGCGGCUCUUCCCGCGGCCGCCGCGGGCCUUCGCUGCUUCACGUGGGCUUUUCUCUCUUUCCGCUGGACCGUGAGCGCGCCGAGCGGUUUCAUUUCUCCCUCCGCCGCCGUGUGCCCGUGGCCCACACCAACGUGGGGCCUCAUUUCUUUUGAACAGAGCAAAAAUGGCCCCGGAAAGCCCCCGAAGCCCUGCGGGAAGCGCCGCCCGAGGUGCCGCCGGGCCUGCUGGCUCCUCGGCCUGCGCGUUUGCGUGGCGUUCCCUCCUCGGGGAACUGUGGGGCCUAAUCCCGCCCGCCCUGUUCCUGCCACAGUGCCUGUUUCUUCCCUUACGGUCUUUUGGAAUUAGCAGUGUAUACUGUAUUGUUCUGCUUACAUUUUAAUGCCUGUCGUCCCGCUGGAAGGCGGCCCGGGGGCCGGCGCAGGAAGCUCUCAGUGACCCCGAGGGGACCGCCGAGGACCGCGUGCGGAGGCGCUGGGAAGGCGGAAACCGCCGUUUGACGCGAACAAAGGAAAAUCUGGCUGUAGACGCUUCCAGCUUCUUAAGAAGUGACAUUUCUUAGGAAGGGAGAAUAGACCUUUCUCCUGCUACCUUCCAGCUCACGGAGACUGGUGUGCCAAAGAGUUUGAUCUUGUUCAAAGAAAAAUGAAUUUCCCAGCCUCUGAGGGGACCCUGUGCCGCUCACGGGCAGACGUCCUGAGACAACGGCCCUUUGUUCAGAGGAGAGCCUUAAUGAGGUUAAGGAUUUACCAAGCGGGGCUGUCAGGAGCUGGCGCGGUGGAGGGGAGAAUAAGGCUGUUCUGCAUUAAAAUGAGCGGUGGUUUCGUUUGCCAGGGCUGCCACCCCGGAGUAAAGCAGACUGGGCGCCUUAAUCAACCGAGAUCUACUUUCUCACCGUUGGAGAGAAAUCCCGGGUUCUGAGACAGCUCUCCAUUCUCCAGUGCUUCUCAAGGUGUAUCGGUUUCCAUCCUAUGGAAGAGGCCAGUUUUGCAUCUGUCAGUAAAAUCAACUCAGCGUUCCUGAUUCCUAUGCGUGUUCUUCCUGUGGAUUCUCCUUUGAACCACUUGAUACUUCCUACUGGUUUCCUCAUUAAAUAACGAGUGAAUGGCUCAAUUUUGCCUUGAGCGGACACUGCCUAGGAGCGGGCCACUCAGAGAACUUUUUGCCUGUAGAGUGCGGAGAGCAAACCCAGCAGAGGUGAAAGGCUCUUCUUUCGAGGAACUGCCCCUAACUCCAACUGCUGAAAGGAUGGGCACACCUCUAACGCCCAGAUUUCUUCUUUUAAAAUCCUUAGAGCUUUCUAAACGCUCACCAUGGUCACUUAGGG
Molecule: long non-coding RNA, 1967 nt
Filed under: Equus asinus (donkey)
Lineage: Eukaryota; Metazoa; Chordata; Mammalia; Perissodactyla; Equidae
Description: lncRNA (ENSEASG00005035942.1)
Source: RNAcentral